This 9960-nucleotide long non-coding RNA is filed under the name Vitis vinifera (wine grape). RNAcentral's name for it is "long non-coding RNA (VVIN_LNC000268)". The record is from RNAcentral. Lineage: Eukaryota; Viridiplantae; Streptophyta; Magnoliopsida; Vitales; Vitaceae.
AUGGAGGAGGCGCAGGAGGUGGUGGAGUCGAUGGACUCGGACGGAGAUGGGUUGCUGGGAUUGGAGGAAUUUGUGGGGUGGAUGGAGAGAGAGGGUGAAGAGAGAAAGAUGGAGGAUUUGAGAGAGGCCUUUAGGAUGUAUGAGAUGGAAGGGAGUGGGUGUAUUACUGCAAAGAGCUUGAAAAGGAUGCUGAGUAGAUUGGGGGAGUCAAGAAGUGUGGAAGAGUGCAGUGUUAUGAUCGGACAAUUUGAUGUAAAUGGGGAUGGGGUUCUGAGCUUUGAUGAGUUCAAGCGCAUGAUGCUUUAAUCUUGUUUAACAUCUUUUAUCUGAAUGUUGUAUUUUUUUUUUUAGAUUUAAGAAGAGUGGUUUGUAUUCAAAAAUUAAGAUUCUCCUCAUUGCUUUCCUCGUGCACAUGGUGAAGAAAAUACUCCCUAUUCUAUAUUUGAUUUUGCAUAAAAAUUCCUUUUACGGCAAAGAGCAAGUGUGAUAAAAUUUAAGUUGAUUUUUAAAUUAAAUUGUUAGUUCAAAUCAUUUUCUCUCUGUGUUUGUAAAAUACUCAUAUUAAAAAUAUUAUAAAAAUACAUAAUAUUAUUACAUAAAAUAAUAAUGAAAUAUAUAUCAUGGAAAAAAUGAAGUAUUAAAUUAUUUUAUAUUUUUAAAAAGUUAUUUAGUCUAAGUUAUUGUUUUGCAUUAUUUUAACUUUAAAUUAUAUAGAAUUAAUUUACCAAUAAGCCUAGACCCCAUUUGAAAUAGAGUUUAACUUUUGCCCUAAUAAUAAAUAAGUAGAAGUAUAAGUAUUAUUAGUGUAAUUGAAUUUUAUAUUUUGGAAUGAUAUCUAUCCCCGCAAAUUUAGGCAGUCUUGUAAAAUAAGUAAAACUAUUGAAAAAAUAUGAGAAUAAAAAUUUUGCAUUAAAAUAAUUAUCGGGGUGCACAAUCCAUAGGACGAUAAUGAAUUGGAGUUCAAGAUCAAUUAAGGACCUUUUUUUUUUUUUUUUAAGUGGGAAGUUGUUUUUCACAAUUUUAUCAUUGAAGGAAGUUAUCUGUAUUUGUAAGUGAAGUUAGAGAAUUAAAUUUGGAAUACCGAAGAUUUGAUUAUUUAAUUCAAGAAGUUUGGUUUCUUAAAGUUAACAACUUGUCUAAUUUAUUUAGGAAAUUAGUCAAUAAGAGAAUAUUUAUUUUCAAUUUUCUUUUGAUUUUGUCUUUUUUUAUUGAGGAAAUUUGUUAAUAAAAAAUAUAUAUUUUUAAUUCUCUCCUAAACUUUAAUGAUUUGAUUUAAUUUUAUUUUGUAAUACUUCUAAAUUUCAUGAGGUGUCACAUUUGAAUAGUCAUAGAAGUGCCUUCACAAAUGUAAAUAUAAUUACAUUUGAUCUCAUUGUAACCAUAUCGAGAAGUCGAUACACGACUCAUAUUGUAAACUCUCCCUAGAAGUUGACUACACACUUAUUUGGUAAAUUACAAUAGUAAAAGAAAAAGAACACAAAAUAUGCACCUAGCCCAAAGUUGGAUGAGAUUUACUUUUGUGAAUAUUAACAUUAACACUAUGUUUGGUUCAUAGAACAUUUGAGAGAAAGAAAAUAGGUAAGAAUCGAAAUAAAAAAAAAAGAAAAAGUUAAGAAAAAUAAAAAAUAAAGUUGAAGUCGAUAAAUUAUUUUUAUUUACUACUAUAAACUCAUUUUAUUUAUUUUAACUCAUCAGUAUAAGGAUUAAAUAAUUUAAAUUUUAAAAAUGUAUAAAUUUUUAAUUAAUUUUAAUUAUAUUUAAUUUUCUUGAAAAUUGUUUCUAGAACAAUCAAAUAUAAGAAAAUCAUUUUUUUAAAUAUUUUUUUUAAUACUUUUCGUGCACCAAAUAUAACUUAAAAGUAUUUUUAUUUUUUAUAUAAAAUAUCACUAUCCUAUUAUUAAACAAAUCAAGGGUCUGUUUAAAAAUAAAUUAUUUUCCAUGGGUAUAAAUAUCUCAAAAAGAUAAUAAAAAAGCCACAUUUAAUUUACUAAUAUAAAAAAGUCCACACCUGAUAAAUCUUUUCCACCUCAUGUCUAGGCAGAUAGAAGGGAGAAAGAGACCAAAAAGACAAACUAGCUUUCUGUGGCGGUUGAGUGUUUUGACCGUUGUAGAUGUAAUUCUAUCUCAAUUUAAUCCAGGCAGCUUCUCACUUUCUUCCCCCAAAAAAUCCAUCAAUUACGCACUCCCUGACACCGUGAUCCAUGCUUUCUUCUUCUCAUCUUCAACUUCAAAACUUCCAAGUUUCCAAUCCUUUUAUGCGUCUCAUAAAGCUAUAUAUAGACUCACAAAUUGUUAUUCACAACACUCCAAGCAUCCAAGUUCUUGCGGUAAGCAGCCAUGAUUAACUGCAGCAUAUAUGAACGCAUAUUCAAGCGCUUUGAUGAAGAUGGUGAUGGGAAACUCUCUCCUUCGGAGCUUCGAAGUUGCGUGGGGACGAUAGGGGAGGAGCUGCUGAUGGAGGAGGCGCAGGAGGUGGUGGAGUCGAUGGACUCAGACGGGGAUGGGUUGGUGGGUUUGGAGGAAUUUGUGGGGUGCAUGGAGAGAGAGGGCGAAAAGAGAAAGAUGGAGGAGUUGAGAGAGGCUUUUAGGAUGUAUGAGAUGGAAGGGAGUGGGUGUAUUACUCCAAAGAGCUUGAAGAGGAUGCUGAGUAGAUUGGGGGAGUCGAGAAGCGUGGAGGAGUGCAGUGUUAUGAUCAGGCAGUUUGAUGUUAAUGGCGAUGGGGUUAUGAGCUUUUAUGAGUUCAAGCUCAUGAUGCUUUAAUAUUGUUUGAUACCUUCCACAUGAAUUUUAUAUUCUUUUUAGAUUUAUAAAGAGUGAUUUGUAUUCAAGAUUCUUUCUACAUAAGGGUCUCCAACGGGCCGGGCCGGGCCGUCCGGCUCGGAGGAGUAAGACCCAUGGCCCAGCUCGAGGCGGGCCACUGAGUCAACGGGCCAGGCCGGGCCGGGCCCUUGGUAUAUCUAAGGCCCGUGGCCCAGCCUGUGGGCCCUCAAGCUGGGCGGGCCGACUGGGGAAAAAAUUAAAAUAGUUUUUAGUUUUGAAGGGAAGAGGUUCGAAAUCCCCUUCCCUUAUGGAUCCAUAAGGGAGCUAGCCACCAACUGAGCUAGUCCUCUUUUGUGUAACUAUUUUGCAUUAGUUAUAUAUAUAUAUAUUAGAAAUGUUGUAUGAUUUUUGAAAAAAUAUAAAAGUGAGUUGGCUGUUCAACGGUCACAUGACUCACAUGACCGUUGAACAUGUCUGCCACUCAAUUCAAUAUUAUGACCGUUGAACGAUCUUGAUUAAAAAAAAAAGAAAUAAUAAAUCCUAAUAUUUAAAUCUCUAUAAAUAUUAAAUACCCUCAAUUUUUUUCUAUUCUCUCAACUCUUAAGCUCUCUCCCAUUCCACAAUAUUUCCGAUUAUUGCAUUUUAUCUCAAAUUAUUCAAUAUUAUUGAUGGUGAAAAACAAGCAUUGGUGGUUCAAAAAGUUCAAAUUUGAAGGAAUUUCUGCUUCGGUUCUCUAAUUUAGUAACAUACUUCACCUUUACUUUUAUUUAUUUGUUACAUUUUAAUUUUACAUUUAUUAUUUUUAGCAUAAUAUUUUAUCAAUAAUUAUAAUUAUGGCAAGUGGUUCUUGUUCUUCAUCUAAUACAUGUGAUAGCAAAAAAUUUACAUCAAAUAUAUGGAAUUUUUUUGAUAGAAUAGAAAUAAAUUUAGAAAAUAAUAAAAAAGAAAUAAAAGCAAAAUGUAAAAUUUGUAACAAACUUCUUAGUGGUGGCUCAAAUGCAGGUACAAGUCAUUUAAAAAGGCAUCAUGAAAAUUGUAAAACUAAAAAUAAUGUAGAUAUUAGAAAUUAUAUGCAAUUAGGUAAAGAUGAAAGUGGAAAUUUAAAAACAUUUUCUUAUGAUGAAUCUUAUUGUUGUGAAGAAAUGAUUGGUUAUAUAAUAAGAGCAGAACAACCUUUCAAUUUCAUGGAAACUCAUGAUUUUACGGGAACAAUGCAACGAGCUGUUAAUCCUCAGUUUUAAGGUUGCUCUGGAAAUACAGUUAAAAGAAUUCUUAUAAAAAAUUUUGAAACACAAAAAGAAAAUUAAAAAUUUUUUUUUGCAAAUUUUGAAGAAAGAAUUUGUUUAACAUCUGAUAUUUGGACAUCUUUAACUCAUAGUGGUUUUUUUAUAUAUAACUGCUCAUUAUAUUGAUAAUGAAUGAAAAUUAAAUAAAAGAAUUAUUUCAUUUAAAAUAAUAAAUGCUCCAUAUAAUGGUAAAAAUAUAGCAUCUUUAAUAAAUGAUGAAAUUAUAGAUUUUGGCAUUCGUGAUAAAAUAUUUACAAUAACAUUAGAUAAUGCUUCUAAUAAUGAUGCAGCAGUAUCUAGAUUAAAACGAUAUUGGCAAAUAAAAGAAGAUCAAUGUAAAAUAUUUCAUGUGCGUUGUUGUGCACAUAUUUUAAAUUUCAUUGUAAAAGAUGGAUUAAAACACGUUGAUGAUACAUUAUAAAAAAUUAGAGGCAUUGCUGCGGGUCUUAAUAGUUCUCAAGCAAAACAUGAAUUAUUUUUUUAUUGUUGCAAAAUGUUAAAUAUGAAAAAAAGAAAUAUAAAUUUGGAUAUGCCCACUAGAUGGAAUUCCACUUAUAAACUUUUACAAACUAUUACAAAAUAUAGAAAAGUAGUAGAACUAUAUGAAAUACAAUUAAUUAACAAUGAUUGUGAAACAAAUAUUGAUGUAUUAAAUGAUUAUUAUUGGCAUAUUGCAGAUCUUUUAAGAGAUCUUUUUGAAGUAUUUGAUACUUCAACAAAAAAUUUUUGUGGUGUAUAUUAUCCAUCUUCAAACCGAGUUGUCAUGCAAAUAACUAAUAUUUUUAUUGUACUUCAAAAAUAUUUAAAUUUGGAUAUAUUUAAUGAUGCAAUAUUUGCAAUGAUAGAAAAAUUUAGAAAAUAUUGGGGAGAAAUACCUUUAAUUUUUUAUCUUGGUUUUGUGGACCCUAGAUUGAAAUUUGAAACUUUGGAUGAAUGGUUAACAAUUAUUUAUUUUAAUGACCAAAUAAAAAUUGAAGAAAUUAAAAAUGAAAUAAAUUCAUUAUUAUAUAAUUUAUAUAACUAUUAUAAAGAAAAAUAUGGUGAUGAUAUUAGUUCUAUUAAAUUACCACCUAUAUCUACAAGUUCUUCAUCUUUUUAUAAAGGAGCUCUAGAAAUGUUAAAAAGUUGAAAGAAGAUAACAAAUAGUUCUCCAAACAACACAACUGAUUUAGAUAGAUAUCUUAAUAUUGAUUUAAUUUCAUUUGAAGAUGAUGAAGAUUUUGAUAUUUUAAUAUGGUGGAAAUCACAACAACACAAAUAUCCUGUGCUUUCUAUCAUUGCUCGUGAUGUACUAACAGUUCUUGUGAGUACAGUUGCAUCAGAAGCUGCUUUUAGUGUAGGUGGAAGAGUAGUUAGUGAUAAACGAUGCAACUUAGCGCCGGAUUCUAUUGAAGCAAAUAUAUGUGUGAAAGACUGGACAAUAGUAGAUAAAAGGAUAUUUGAUUCUAUUCAAGAAGAAAAUAUGCUUGUCGAUAUGGAAAAACUAAAAUCAUCAAGAUCUUCAUGGAUUUGCGAUAGUUCGCCAACACCGCCAAGAGAUAAUGAUUAAAAUAUUUUACUAAAUGUAUGUCAUAUUUUUAUUUUUAUUUUUGUAGUUGAAAAGUACAAAUGAUUGACAAAUAAGUAGGUGCCAACCUAGUUGGGAUGUAUUUAUUUUGUAGUGAUGUAAACUUUUCCCACAUUUUCAAAUGUAACGUAUACAUUCAAUGAAUAAAAUAGUUAGCAAUGAAUAUUUUUAUUAAUGUAGUAUUUUCUAUUUCUUGAAUAUUUAUAUAUAUAUAUAUAUUUAAGUGGCGGGCCUACGGGCGGGCCAGCCCACCGGGCCUAAAUUGGAGCCCAUGGCUCGGUCCAUCCAAAAAUGGGCUCGAGCCGGGCCGGGCCUAGGCCAGGCCGCGGGCUUUUUAGAGACCCUUAUUUCCACAUAUACAGAGGAAUAUGAUUUUUUUUUCUUUCCACUCUAUAACAUUUAUAUAUAUAUAUAUAUAUAUAUAUAUGUUCUGUACAUGAUUGUUUGGGCCAAUUAAACUCUCAAGGGUGUGUGGAACCCUGCACUAGUCUUGUUAUAUACGGUAACUCAACUGACUUUAAAUGGAAGUUGGUGCUUUAACACAUAGCGUUAAUAUGUUUAGUAACUUAAAUUAAUUUAUUAAACAAUUCUAUAUCUUUUUAAUAUGCCAACCAAGGGAAUUAUAGCAUUUUUCUCAUUCAUGCUAAGGAAUUAGUGAAAGUAUGGAUUGUGAAGUUAACAUAUAACAACUCGCGCUUAACUGUAUAGAUAUUAUCCUCUCUAAGUCCUAAAGGGCCCUUACAGCUUUAAAAUGUAUCUACAUGAUUUAGAGAGAUCUAUACUUAUAUAGUAUCAUAAAUUUUCUCUCAUAUUCAAUAUGGGGUAUCAUAAACACCCUCUAUGCAAAUAUAACGUUCUCGUUGUAUUCCAUGAUAUUAUGGGGUAAAACAGAUAAACAAUCCUUAUAGGGCCAAAUAUACCCCCACACCAAGAUCGAUGAUUAGUUCUAAUAUCACUUAUAACGACAUGUAUCUAACCAUGUAGAUAUUUUUCGCUCUAGAAAUUGGAUAUGAGAGAAAGUUUAUGACGUUAUAUAUGUAGAGGUUCCUCUUAAUUCUAUAAACGCAUUUUAAAAUUGUGAAGACCCCUUUGGAUUCAGAGUUGAUAAUAUCUACACAGUUGGAUGAGGUUCGUUAUCUAACAUCUUAUUUUGUUAAUUAAUUUCCAACUAAUUGUCACUAUGUUCAAUGAAUCCCUUCAUCUAUAAAGAAAAGAAAAGGGGGUUGAGUUGGGAGCCUACAAUUUCUCUUAUUGUGGAUGUUUUCUGAAUGCAUUAUUGAGUAGUCAUAGAAGUGCCUUCUUAACUGUCAAUAAAAUUACAUUUGAUCUCAUUGUAACCAUAUCGAGAAGUCGAUACAUGACUCAUAUUGUAAACUCUCUCUAGAAGUUGACUACAAACUUAUUUGGUAAAUUACAAUAGUAAAAGAAAAAGAACACAAAAUAUGCACCUAGCCAAAGUUGGAUGAGAUUUACUUUUGUGAAUAUUAACAUUAAGGCUAUGUUUGGUUCGUAGAAAAUUUGAGAGAAAGAAAAUAGAUAAGAAAAUAAAUAAGAAAAAAAAAGUGAAGAAAAAUAAAAAAAAUAGAGUUGAAAUUGAUAAAUUAUAUUUAUUUACUACUUUAAAUUCAUUUUAUUUAUUUUAACUCAUCAUUAUAAAGAUUAAAAAAUUUAAAAUUUAAAAAUAUAUAAGUUCUUAAUUAAUUUUAAUUAUAUUUAAUUUUCUUGAAAAUUCUUUCUAGAACAAUCAAAUAUAAGAAAAUUAUUUUUCUUGAUAUUUUUUUCUUUUCUUAAUACUUUUCGUGCACCAAAUAUAACUUAAAAGUAUUUUUAUUUUUUAUAUAAAAUAUCACAUAUAAUUUUAUAAAAUCUAUCCUAUUAUUAAACAAAUCAAGGGUCUGUUUAAAAAUAAAUAAAUAAAUAAUUUUCCAUGGGUGUAAAUAUCUCAAAAAGAUAAUAAAAAAGCCACAUUUAAUUUACUAAUAUAAAAAAGUCCACACCUGAUAAAUCUUUUCCACCUCAUGUCUAGGCAGAUAGAAGGGAGAAAGAGACCAAAAAGACCAACUAGCUUUCUGUGGCGGUUGAGUGUUUUGACCGUUGUAGAUGUAAUUCUAUCUCAAUUUAAUCCAGGCAGCUUCUCACUUUCUUCCCCCAAAAAAUCCAUCAAUUACGUACGCACUCCCUGACACCGUGAUCAAUGCUUUCUUCUUCUCAUCUUCAACUUCAAAACUUCCAAGUUCCAAUCCUUUUACGCGUCUCAUAAAGCUAUAUAUGGACUCACAAAUUGUUAUUCACAACACUCCAAGAAUCCAAGUUCUUGCGGUAAGCAGCCAUGAUUAACUGCAGCAUAUAUGAACGCAUAUUCAAGCGCUUUGAUGAAGAUGGUGAUGGGAAACUCUCUCCUUCGGAGCUUCGACGUUGCGUGGGGACGAUAGGGGAGGAGCUACUGAUGGAGGAGGCGCAGGAGGUGGUGGAGUCGAUGGACUCAGACGGGGAUGGGUUGGUGGGGUUGGAGGAAUUUGUGGGGUGGAUGAAGAGAGAGGGCGAAGAGAGAAAGAUGGAGGAGUUGAGAGAGGCUUUUAGGAUGUAUGAGAUGGAAGGGAGUGGGUGUAUUACUCCAAAGAGCUUGAAGAGGAUGCUGAGUAGAUUGGGGGAGUCGAGAAGCGUGGAGGAGUGCAGUGUUAUGAUCAGGCAGUUUGAUGUUAAUGGCGAUGGGGUUCUGAGCUUUGAUGAGUUCAAGCUCAUGAUGUUUUGAUAUUGUAAUGAUUAUAUAUAUGAUUUUUAUUUCCUUUUCCGGUGAAUAACAUUUAUGCCUUAAUUAAAACACUUCAUCGUCUUAUCUAUUAUUAUUAUUGAAACUAAAUAAAAACCCUAUUAGUUACUAUCAAUGACAAAAUAAAAUUUAAAAUAUUAAAAAUACAAUUAAAACUAAAAAAAAUCAAUAAUAAAUAAUGCCAAAACAAAAUAUUGGUUUUCUACCAAAAAAUUAAAAAAAAAAAUAGUUUUCUAUUAAAAGUUUGUCACUUUAUCAAUGUCUAUAAUUUCUUAUAAAAAAAAUAUUUUGAUGGAUCCUAAAUAUUUUCAUAGUGAUCCUUUUCAAUCUAACUCUAGGUCAUUAGUAUAUAUGCAUUGCUUCCAUAAUAAUACCGAAUUUAUUUUUAUUUAAUUAAAUCUUUUUUUCUUAAAUGCGAGAUCAUUAUAACAAAAUCCUUUUAAAUUUAAUUACUCUAUUUGAAUAAAUCGAUUUUACUUAUUUGAAAGAAUGAAAAAUAUGAUAUUUGAUGUUUGAAAAUUCCAUCUUUGUACCUUUAAAAUCUAAUUUUAAAAAGGAUGGAACUUUAAUAUGCUUAAUAACAUAAAUUAAUUUAUCAAAUGCUUAUAAAAUUUUCUAAUAUUUUAAGUAUGAUAAACAAUUUAUUUUUCAAUCUUAUGUAAAAAAUAUUUGCUAAUGUAUUAAAAAUAAAUGUAAUUGGGAAAAAGCUUGUAAGUUGUGUCAUUCAUCCAUGCUGAGGAGUCAGUAGCAGUGUGAAGAAGUUGAUAGGUUGUCUGAAAAACCAGUUGAGUCUUUUGACGUUAGCUUGUUGUUCUACAGAAGAACACUAUUUUUUUUAUUUUUUUUUAUUUUAUUUUUUAUGUUUUAAUUUUGUAAACAUGUUUCUCGUUUGUCGCGUCAUAUCCACCUCAUGUCCGGGUGGAUUGAAAAAGCAAAAGGCUAGAAGAAAAGUAUUCUAUUCUUAGUAAAGUCAAUACGCACUCCGUGACGUCCCCUCCAGAACUUCCUAGUAAAGUUCGAUUCUUCACUCUCAAAAUCUCCAUACCCAACAGCUCUAUCUACUCCUUUUACGCGUCCCCACAACAGCUAUAUAUAUGCACACACAAGGUGUUCAUCCUCACAUCUUCACAUCUUACUACAAAUUAAGUUUUAUUCACAUUAAUUUUCAUUAACAUCCUUGUGUUGCGACAGCCAUGAUUAACUGCAAUGUGUAUGAACGCAUUUUCAAGCGCUUCGAUGAGGAUGGUGAUGGGAAACUCUCUCCUUCGGAGCUCCGACGCUGCUUGGGGACGAUAGGGGAGGAGUUGCUGAUGGAGGAGGCGCAGGAGGUGGUGGAGUCGAUGGACUCGGACGGAGAUGGGUUGCCGGGAUAGGAGGAAUUUGUGGGGUGGAUGGAGAGAGAGGGUGAAGACAGAAAGAUGAAGGAGUUGAGAGAGGCCUUUAGAAUGUAUGAGAUGGAAGGGAGUGGGUGUAUUACUGCAAAGAGCUUGAAGAGGAUGCUGAGUAGAUUGGGGGAGUCAAGAAGUGUGGAAGAGUGCAGUGUUACGAUCGGACAGUUUGAUGUAAAUGGGGAUGGG